RNAcentral lists this long non-coding RNA (409 nucleotides) under Calidris pygmaea (Spoon-billed sandpiper). RNAcentral's name for it is "lncRNA (ENSCPGG00000014248.1)". Lineage: Eukaryota; Metazoa; Chordata; Aves; Charadriiformes; Scolopacidae. The record is from RNAcentral.
UAGGAUGCUUAAUCAAAGUGGUGGCUUAGAAGUAGGCUGUUCAGUCUCCAGCGAAGCAGAUGAGAAGUGCAGUUGGAUUACGAGUCCGAGUGCUGACAACAUUUUACGCCCCAACUUCUGGACUCCGUUCCCUCCAAUGACACUAUGUCAAGUCUCCAUAAUACAGAGAGAGAGUGACUGAAGAAUUGCCUAUGUUCAGGAUCUGAUAUGAAAUAACCUACAAAAUAUGGACAUCUUAGACUGUGUUUAAUGCAGUGCUUGGCUUAUAGUAUGCAGCAGGAGACUACAAGUUUUGCAAGACUUGUCUUGGAUCCCCCCCCAAAAUACUGAGAGGGCAUUGAACUCUGCAACUUGUUGGUUGUUGGGGAGAGGGGAAACCCAGGAAAAAAUAAAUCUUUAACUCAAAACA